This 468-nucleotide ribosomal RNA is filed under the name uncultured bacterium. RNAcentral describes it as "partial 16S ribosomal RNA". It matches the Rfam family "Bacterial small subunit ribosomal RNA", at positions 28 to 507 of the family's 1533-position model. The record is from RNAcentral.
GACGAACGCUGGCGGCGUGCUUAACACAUGCAAGUCGAACGGAAAGGCCCUGCUUUUGUGGGGUGCUCGAGUGGCGAACGGGUGAGUAACACGUGAGUAACCUGCCCUUGACUUUGGGAUAACUUCAGGAAACUGGGGCUAAUACCGGAUAGGAGCUCCUGCUGCAUGGUGGGGGUUGGAAAGUUUCGGCGGUUGGGGAUGGACUCGCGGCUUAUCAGCUUGUUGGUGGGGUAGUGGCUUACCAAGGCUUUGACGGGUAGCCGGCCUGAGAGGGUGACCGGCCACAUUGGGACGGAGAUACGGCCCAGACUCCUACGGGAGGCAGCAGUGGGGAAUAUUGCACAAUGGGCGGAAGCCUGAUGCAGCAACGCCGCGUGCGGGAUGACGGCCUUCGGGUGGUAAACCGCUUUCGCCUGUGACGAAGCGUGAGUGACGGUAAUGGGUAAAGAAGCACCGGCUAACUACGUG